UAAGCCAGCUACCUGAUUUUAUUAAUUUGU
RNAcentral lists this non-coding RNA (30 nucleotides) under Rattus norvegicus (Norway rat). The record is from RNAcentral. Lineage: Eukaryota; Metazoa; Chordata; Mammalia; Rodentia; Muridae.